Vulpes vulpes (red fox) is the source of this 143-nucleotide small nucleolar RNA. Lineage: Eukaryota; Metazoa; Chordata; Mammalia; Carnivora; Canidae. The record is from Ensembl.
GCUGAGGUCUAUCUGCACAGGGCUUUUCCUGCAGAAAAGGUGCCAUAUCGUUGAAAAUGUCUCAUAGAGUAACUAUGUGGUUUUGCUUUACUCACAGAAUUAUUCAUUGGAUCUGUGGUCCUAAAAGUGACCCUAAAGCAAUU